UGCGUAGGUGGUUAGAUAAGUUAUCUGUAAAAUCCCCGGGCUUAACCUGGGCAGGUCAGAUAAGACUGUUUAACUGGAGUAUGGGAGAGGGUAGUGGAAUUUCCGGUGUAGCGGUGAAAUGCGUAGAGAUCGGAAGGAACACCAGUGGCGAAGGCGGCUACCUGGCCUAAUACUGACACUGAGGCACGAAAGCGUGGGGAGCAAACA
This 207-nucleotide ribosomal RNA is filed under the name uncultured bacterium. Its description in RNAcentral is "partial 16S ribosomal RNA". It matches the Rfam family "Bacterial small subunit ribosomal RNA", at positions 568 to 774 of the family's 1533-position model. The record is from RNAcentral.